AAAUUGAAGAGUUUGAUCAUGGCUCAGAUUGAACGCUGGCGGCAGGCCUAACACAUGCAAGUCGAGCGGUAGCACAGAGAGCUUGCUCUCGGGUGACGAGCGGCGGACGGGUGAGUAAUGUCUGGGAAACUGCCUGAUGGAGGGGGAUAACUACUGGAAACGGUAGCUAAUACCGCAUAAUGUCGCAAGACCAAAGUGGGGGACCUUCGGGCCUCAUGCCAUCAGAUGUGCCCAGAUGGGAUUAGCUAGUAGGUGGGGUAACGGCUCACCUAGGCGACGAUCCCUAGCUGGUCUGAGAGGAUGACCAGCCACACUGGAACUGAGACACGGUCCAGACUCCUACGGGAGGCAGCAGUGGGGAAUAUUGCACAAUGGGCGCAAGCCUGAUGCAGCCAUGCCGCGUGUGUGAAGAAGGCCUUCGGGUUGUAAAGCACUUUCAGCGGGGAGGAAGGCGUUAAGGUUAAUAACCUUGGCGAUUGACGUUACCCGCAGAAGAAGCACCGGCUAACUCCGUGCCAGCAGCCGCGGUAAUACGGAGGGUGCAAGCGUUAAUCGGAAUUACUGGGCGUAAAGCGCACGCAGGCGGUCUGUCAAGUCGGAUGUGAAAUCCCCGGGCUUAACCUGGGAACUGCAUUCGAAACUGGCAGGCUAGAGUCUUGUAGAGGGGGGUAGAAUUCCAGGUGUAGCGGUGAAAUGCGUAGAGAUCUGGAGGAAUACCGGUGGCGAAGGCGGCCCCCUGGACAAAGACUGACGCUCAGGUGCGAAAGCGUGGGGAGCAAACAGGAUUAGAUACCCUGGUAGUCCACGCCGUAAACGAUGUCGAUUUGGAGGUUGUGCCCUUGAGGCGUGGCUUCCGGAGCUAACGCGUUAAAUCGACCGCCUGGGGAGUACGGCCGCAAGGUUAAAACUCAAAUGAAUUGACGGGGGCCCGCACAAGCGGUGGAGCAUGUGGUUUAAUUCGAUGCAACGCGAAGAACCUUACCUGGUCUUGACAUCCACAGAACUUUCCAGAGAUGGAUUGGUGCCUUCGGGAACUGUGAGACAGGUGCUGCAUGGCUGUCGUCAGCUCGUGUUGUGAAAUGUUGGGUUAAGUCCCGCAACGAGCGCAACCCUUAUCCUUUGUUGCCAGCGGUCCGGCCGGGAACUCAAAGGAGACUGCCAGUGAUAAACUGGAGGAAGGUGGGGAUGACGUCAAGUCAUCAUGGCCCUUACGACCAGGGCUACACACGUGCUACAAUGGCAUAUACAAAGAGAAGCGACCUCGCGAGAGCAAGCGGACCUCAUAAAGUAUGUCGUAGUCCGGAUUGGAGUCUGCAACUCGACUCCAUGAAGUCGGAAUCGCUAGUAAUCGUAGAUCAGAAUGCUACGGUGAAUACGUUCCCGGGCCUUGUACACACCGCCCGUCACACCAUGGGAGUGGGUUGCAAAAGAAGUAGGUAGCUUAACCUUCGGGAGGGCGCUUACCACUUUGUGAUUCAUGACUGGGGUGAAGUCGUAACAAGGUAACCGUAGGGGAACCUGCGGUUGGAUCACCUCCUUACCUUAAAGAA
Molecule: ribosomal RNA, 1550 nt
Filed under: Klebsiella pneumoniae
Lineage: Bacteria; Pseudomonadati; Pseudomonadota; Gammaproteobacteria; Enterobacterales; Enterobacteriaceae
Also listed under: 1 other name
Description: bacterial SSU rRNA
Rfam family: Bacterial small subunit ribosomal RNA
Source: RNAcentral